AGUACGAAGAUCAACAUUGAGCAUACAAUAUAAGAAUUACAUUUAUACUCCCUCCGUCCCAAAAAUAUGUUUGUUUUCUAUGUAAUUUUCAUUGAAAAUGGUACUCAUUCUUCUGGAUGGUGGGAGUACAAAUUUUAAUAAAAGCAGCCUUGCAGCAUUAGUCUACAACGCAUACCAGUGUGCAUGUCUAGGGAGCUUCCACUUUCGGCUAUUAUCCACAGGACCUAUAAUGUUGUCUACAAUCAUGCUAUUGCAAUAUUAUUUCG
RNAcentral lists this long non-coding RNA (266 nucleotides) under Panax ginseng (ginseng). RNAcentral's name for it is "long non-coding RNA (PGIN_LNC011619)". Lineage: Eukaryota; Viridiplantae; Streptophyta; Magnoliopsida; Apiales; Araliaceae. The record is from RNAcentral.